GGAGGGGCAGAGCGGCUUGCCGGGUAGGACAGCGGGUGUUCCAUUCUCAGGCGUGCGGCCUGCUGGUGGCGCCGCGUCACGCGCCCAGUACGUGCGCCACUCCGUUCUGGAACCUUCCCCCAGCUAAAGAAGGGGAGAAAGAACAAGAAAGGUGCCAGAACCUCCCAUAUAUGGGCAGCGUCGGAAGCAUUUACGUCAUGGCGUCGCGUCGUAGCGUGUCUGCGGGCCGCGAGCGGAACGUGACAGCGUUGUGCCCUGCACAGCGCCCUGGAAACCAAACAGUAAACAGCUCGCGGGGGAGGGGCGGCUCAGUACGCAGGCGCACGGGGAGCUUGUCGCCGAGGGUGGGCUGCGAAGCCCUCUGGUAAAGCCGGGCGCAGAGGAAGAUUAAAUCUGUCAAAUCCUUCUGUUUUUCACAAGCACAAAAGUCACGUGAAUUUAUUGAUGAAUAGACGAUUGCUACCUUUUCCCAAAGUUUGGAAUUGACUAAUACUGGAAACCUCUGUGAUUACCUCAAGCUGCUCAGUAAUUACACAAAAUAAAAAUAGACUUAUGGAUAAUGAAUUUUCAAAACUGUAUUUAGAAAUAUC
Molecule: long non-coding RNA, 590 nt
Organism: Caretta caretta (loggerhead turtle)
Lineage: Eukaryota; Metazoa; Chordata; Testudines; Cheloniidae
Source: RefSeq, a predicted model, not a curated record